GAUGAACGCUGGCGGCGUGCCUAAUACAUGCAAGUCGAGCGAACAGACGAGGAGCUUGCUCCUCUGACGUUAGCGGCGGACGGGUGAGUAACACGUGGAUAACCUACCUAUAAGACUGGGAUAACUUCGGGAAACCGGAGCUAAUACCGGAUAAUAUAUUGCACCGCAUGGUUCAAUAGUGAAAGACGGUUUUGCUGUCACUUAUAGAUGGAUCCGCGCCGCAUUAGCUAGUUGGUAAGGUAACGGCUUACCAAGGCGACGAUGCGUAGCCGACCUGAGAGGGUGAUCGGCCACACUGGAACUGAGACACGGUCCAGACGCCUACGGGAGGCAGCAGUAGGGAAUCUUCCGCAAUGGGCGAAAGCCUGACGGAGCAACGCCGCGUGAGUGAUGAAGGUCUUCGGAUCGUAAAACUCUGUUAUUAGGGAAGAACAGAUGUGUAAGUAACUAUGCACGUCUUGACGGUACCUAAUCAGAAAGCCACGGCUAACUACGUG
RNAcentral lists this ribosomal RNA (497 nucleotides) under uncultured bacterium. RNAcentral describes it as "partial 16S ribosomal RNA". It matches the Rfam family "Bacterial small subunit ribosomal RNA", at positions 28 to 507 of the family's 1533-position model. The record is from RNAcentral.